Molecule: long non-coding RNA, 887 nt
Organism: Corticium candelabrum
Lineage: Eukaryota; Metazoa; Porifera; Homoscleromorpha; Homosclerophorida; Plakinidae
Exons: 3
Source: RefSeq, a predicted model, not a curated record
CGUGCACGCAGAUCGUCACCAUGUUUUCGACCUUGCCUAAGCAAUACACAACUUUUGGGCUGAUCCUCCUGGCGUCGGUGCUCAUUUCUUUACGAUCUGACGAAUACGGGCAGGGAGGAUGCGGCGGAUGAGUACACUGAUUGCGUCCAACACUGCAGCGCUUCAUCCACCCUAAAACGUCUCUUUGCGUACAUUACAGCAAUCUUUCCAAGUGCAACUAAAUCGUAUCGUACACGGCGACAACUACAACGCAGAAAAAGAAUGUACAGUACUCGACUAUGCUGUUUAGGUGCGGGGACAUCUGGAAAUGGUUUUCUUGUGAAACGGAAAGGCAUAUAGGACAACGUCCUAGGACAGUUUACAAGUACGAGACUGAGGUCACAAGGUACAGGAUUUAAUGCAGAGACUGCAACAGUAAGGACGGUCAGAACAACCGAGACCGUGCGGUUCACUCUCAAUUGUCGUGUAUUAUAAGUUGACUGCCGAUCGAGUCAGCCUGUGGACGGCUUGGAAAUGCACAACCUGUUGCGCUGAUAUCAAAAAGGAAAGAAGAUGAAAGUGUGACCGUUGCCAAGAACGGCAGUCGUGCGAACCUGAAAGAGACGAUGGCAGUGUAUGAAGACGACAGAGCAGUUUGAUACCUGCCACUCGAUAUCUGCUCUCUCUGCACUAACGGUUGCAAAUAUAGAAGACGUCACAGAAAAGCUCGACGUGCAUACGCCAUCAACACAACAGCGUCUUCUCGUGAUAGAUAUGCGAGCCCAAUAAAACCAAAAUUGUAUCGAUGUUCUACAAGUAUGUUGACAACUGACGAGAAAUGCUUGAGAUGACAAUGACAUCUGCAUUAUUAGAGGCGACAUUUGUGAUGGUCUCUGCGCGUGGGCACG